UGGUGAGGUAAGGGCUCACCAAGGCGACGAUCCCUAGCUGGUCUGAGAGGAUGAUCAGCCACACUGGAACUGAGACACGGUCCAGACUCCUACGGGAGGCAGCAGUGGGGAAUAUUGCACAAUGGGCGCAAGCCUGAUGCAGCCAUGCCGCGUGUGUGAAGAAGGCCUUCGGGUUGUAAAGCACUUUCAGUCGUGAGGAAGGUAGUGUAGUUAAUAGCUGCAUUAUU
This 227-nucleotide ribosomal RNA is filed under the name Vibrio parahaemolyticus. RNAcentral's name for it is "partial 16S ribosomal RNA". It matches the Rfam family "Bacterial small subunit ribosomal RNA", at positions 250 to 473 of the family's 1533-position model. Lineage: Bacteria; Pseudomonadati; Pseudomonadota; Gammaproteobacteria; Vibrionales; Vibrionaceae. The record is from RNAcentral.